Molecule: long non-coding RNA, 241 nt
Filed under: Ananas comosus (pineapple)
Lineage: Eukaryota; Viridiplantae; Streptophyta; Magnoliopsida; Poales; Bromeliaceae
Description: long non-coding RNA (ACOM_LNC042411)
Source: RNAcentral
UGGUGGGAGAGACCGGUUCCGAAACGCGUGAGAAAUGAGAAAGGCUGAAAAUCGGCUAAGUCCCAGAAAACCAGUUCUCGGGAACCGGUCCCUGCGGGGAGAGACCGAUCCCCGAGAGACCGGUCCCUUUGGGAGAGACCGGGAGACCGGUUGCAUUGCGCGAGGGCCCUGGCUGCCCGCGGGGCAAGCUCUCUGGGACCGGUCCCUUGUCAAGGAGACCGGUCCCUGAACACGAAAACUG